This 22-nucleotide microRNA is filed under the name Ptychodera flava. RNAcentral's name for it is "Pfl-Mir-4838_5p* (star (passenger))". The record is from RNAcentral. Lineage: Eukaryota; Metazoa; Hemichordata; Enteropneusta; Ptychoderidae.
AACUGGUAACAGUAGGAACGCC